This 497-nucleotide ribosomal RNA is filed under the name uncultured bacterium. Its description in RNAcentral is "partial 16S ribosomal RNA". It matches the Rfam family "Bacterial small subunit ribosomal RNA", at positions 28 to 507 of the family's 1533-position model. The record is from RNAcentral.
GAUGAACGCUGGCGGCGUGCCUAAUACAUGCAAGUCGAGCGAACGGAUGAGAAGCUUGCUUCUCUGAUGUUAGCGGCGGACGGGUGAGUAACACGUGGAUAACCUACCUAUAAGACUGGGAUAACUUCGGGAAACCGGAGCUAAUACCGGAUAAUAUUUUGAACCGCAUGGUUCAAAAGUGAAAGACGGUCUUGCUGUCACUUAUAGAUGGAUCCGCGCUGCAUUAGCUAGUUGGUAAGGUAACGGCUUACCAAGGCAACGAUGCAUAGCCGACCUGAGAGCGUGAUCGGCCACACUGGAACGGAGACACGGUCCAGACUCCUGUGGGAGGCAGCAGUAGGGAAUCUGCCGCAAUGGGCGAAAGCCUGACGGAGCAACGCCGCGUGAGUGAUGAAGGUCUUCGGAUCGUAAAACUCUGUUAUUAGGGAAGAACAUAUGUGUAAGUAACUGUGCACAUCUUGACGGUACCUAAUCAGAAAGGCACGGCUAACUACGUG